Molecule: ribosomal RNA, 444 nt
Filed under: uncultured bacterium
Lineage: Bacteria
Description: partial 16S ribosomal RNA
Rfam family: Bacterial small subunit ribosomal RNA
Source: RNAcentral
GUAGGGAAUAUUGGGCAAUGGUCGGAAGACUGACCCAGCCAUGCCGCGUGCAGGAAGACGGCCCUCUGGGUGGUAAACUGCUUUUAUCUGGGAAGAAAAAGGUCAUGCGUGGCAAAUUGCCGGUACCAGAUGAAUAAGCACCGGCUAACUCCGUGCCAGCAGCCGCGGUAAUACGGAGGGUGCGAGCGUUGUCCGGAUUUAUUGGGUUUAAAGGGUGCGUAGGCGGCUGAUUAAGUCAGCGGUGAAAGACUUCGGCUUAACCGGAGCAGUGCCGUUGAUACUGGUUGGCUUGAGUGUCGGAGGGGUACAUGGAAUUGAUGGUGUAGCGGUGAAAUGCAUAGAUACCAUCAGGAACACCGAUAGCGAAGGCAUUGUACUGGCCGACAACUGACGCUGAUGCACGAAAGUGUGGGGAUCGAACAGGAUUAGAAACCCGGGUAGUCC